ACGAACGCUGGCGGCGUGCUUAACCCAUGCAAGUCGAACGGAAAGGCCCUGCUUUUGUGGGGUGCUCGAGUGGCGAACGGGUGAGUAACACGUGAGUAACCUGCCCUUGACUUUGGGAUAACUUCAGGAAACUGGGGCUAAUACCGGAUAGGAGCUCCUGCUGCAUGGUGGGGGUUGGAAAGUUUCGGCGGUUGGGGAUGGACUCGCGGCUUAUCAGCUUGUUGGUGGGGUAGUGGCUUACCAAGGCUUUGACGGGUAGCCGGCCUGAGAGGGUGACCGGCCACAUUGGGACUGAGAUACGGCCCAGACUCCUACGGGAGGCAGCAGUGGGGAAUAUUGCACAAUGGUCGGAAGCCUGAUGCAGCAACGCCGCGUGCGGGAUGACGGCCUUCGGGUUGUAAACCGCUUUCGCCUGUGACGAAGCGUGAGUGACGGUAAUGGGUAAAGAAGCACCGGCUAACUACGUG
This 467-nucleotide ribosomal RNA is filed under the name uncultured bacterium. RNAcentral describes it as "partial 16S ribosomal RNA". It matches the Rfam family "Bacterial small subunit ribosomal RNA", at positions 29 to 507 of the family's 1533-position model. The record is from RNAcentral.